RNAcentral lists this long non-coding RNA (289 nucleotides) under Elaeis guineensis (African oil palm). RNAcentral's name for it is "long non-coding RNA (EGUI_LNC061153)". The record is from RNAcentral. Lineage: Eukaryota; Viridiplantae; Streptophyta; Magnoliopsida; Arecales; Arecaceae.
UCACCAUAAAGAGAAAAAGAACCCUUCUUCUCCUCUUCUUCUCUCUCUUUUCACUUCUUAGAUCUGAUCUCUAUCAGAUCUGGGUGUAGACAUGAAGGAAGAAAGGAGGAGGAGGUGUUGGAAGGAAGUUGUGAUGUCCUAAAGAAGUCGGCACUUCUUUCUCAUGCAAAACAUCACACCACACUUUAAUUUUGUCGCACAAAAACCUUCUUAUCCCAUGCACAAUCUCUUCCUCAUGCCCAAGAGAUCUAAUCUCUUUAAAUCUAAGACGUUCAAAUCCAAAUCCAGG